Molecule: long non-coding RNA, 468 nt
Organism: Dreissena polymorpha
Lineage: Eukaryota; Metazoa; Mollusca; Bivalvia; Myida; Dreissenidae
Exons: 3
Source: RefSeq, a predicted model, not a curated record
AUGGCGUAACACAAAGACGUGACAAAAACUAGUAAUUUCUCCAAUUCUUCUGCAGGCCGGUUAAUAAAGAUGGACGUCGUCUAUAGACGUGACAAUAGCAUAACUUUAAUCACGUGUCUACUAUCAAUCUUCAGCAGGCGGUGAUCUUACGUACAAUUUCCCCGUUCGAGCUGGCGGGGUGGACUAUUCGCAGUUCAAUCCGUACAAUGAUAGACUGAGAGCUGACACUAUCAAAAGUCUGACCUUUCAGACCAUGGGCAACAACGACGCACACAUUCUACUUCAGAACAACAGCAUCGACUUCAAUAACAAAGUGGUAGAAAUCGUCAUCGGUGGGUGGAGUAACAGUCGGUCUGUCAUCAGAGACCGGCAGCAAGGUCCCGCAUUGUCCUCAUACUCGGGCUCUUUACUCUCCGGCUCCUCCUUCCAAUGGUUUUGGAUCUCAUGGAACGGGGGCUGUGUCAAGGU